This is a long non-coding RNA of Chiroxiphia lanceolata (lance-tailed manakin), 342 nucleotides long. RefSeq lists it as uncharacterized. The transcript has 5 exons. NCBI's taxonomy places the organism in Eukaryota, Metazoa, Chordata, Aves, Passeriformes, Pipridae. The record is from RefSeq and is a predicted model, not a curated record.
CAGGUGCUCAGAGCAGAACCUGGGCAACCUGUUCCAAUCCAAUUGUCGGGGGUGACAGCGGGUCUGUCAGCACCUUGGCACAUACUGACGAAGCAAUCGAUGUUGACCAGAUCAAAGUAUACCCCUGAGAUGGCCUGAAAAGAGAGGACUGAAAAUGGAGGCCCUGAUCCUGACAACAUACUGAUGCAUCCUGAAGAAGCUGUCCCGUGGGAACAGAGAACACUGUCUCAUGAAAACAGGAGCACUGUCUCAUGAGAACAAGGACCUGUUUUGAACGAGAGUAGUUGGGAAAAACAUCAACAUGAGAGAAAAAUAAGAGCAGGUGCUCAGGACUGUUGUGGG